UGAGUGGUUUGGGCAAUCGCGUGUUUUCCACGAGGAACUUCCGGACUACGUAGAACGGCGUGGUUGUUAACAGCAACCGAGAGUGAUCUUAGGGAAAGUGCCACAGAAACUAUACCGCUCUUGAUGCGUGGGUGCGGUGUUGGUGCGGUGCGUGCGCAGAACUGGAGUAAGGGUGAAAAGAGUUGAGGUAAGAGCUCACAGCACACAUGGUGACAUGUUCUGGUAGUAGAAUUUAUGUGAAUGGUAAACCCCACGCGUAGCAAGGUCAAGUAGAAUUUAGGGUUGUUCGCUCAAUAAAUUCGGGUAGACUGCUUGAGUCUACGAGCAAUUGUAGACCUAGAUAGAUGAUUGCCACCAAUUAUGGUACAGAAUCCGGAGUAUAGAACAACUCAUCCA
RNAcentral lists this RNase P RNA (396 nucleotides) under Candidatus Ancillula trichonymphae. Its description in RNAcentral is "RNase P RNA component class A". It matches the Rfam family "Bacterial RNase P class A". Rfam says of the family: Ribonuclease P (RNase P) is a ubiquitous endoribonuclease, found in archaea, bacteria and eukarya as well as chloroplasts and mitochondria. The record is from RNAcentral. Lineage: Bacteria; Bacillati; Actinomycetota; Actinomycetes; Bifidobacteriales; Bifidobacteriaceae.